UCCCCAAUUUUGGGUGAUGAUCCCUAAUCCCGAGGGGGGGUCCCCAGUUCCGGGGGCGUCCCCAAUCCCGAGGGUGGUCCCUAAUUCCGGGCGGGUGUCCCCAAUUCUGGGGGUGUCCCCAAUUCCGGGGGAUGCCCCUAAUUCCGGAGAGGGGUCCCCAAUACCGAGGAGGUGUCCCUAAUUCUGGGGGGUGUCCCCAAUUCUGGGUGAGGGUCCCCAGUUCUGGGUGAGGGUCCCCCCAUCCCCAGAGGGGGGGUUCCCAAUCCCAAAAUGAGGUGGGGGGGGUCCCUUUUUCACCCCCCCGCUCACCGCCCAUCCCCCAGCGGAGCCUGAGGCUACAAACCCAAGUUUGAGAAGCUGAAGUGGGAGCUGGAGCGGCGCUUCCCGGGAGCCCUGGACGUGAGCGGCCAGGGCACCCCGGAGGUGACGGGAUGGUUUGAGGUGACCGUGGGGGGACACCUGGUCCACUC
Pyrgilauda ruficollis (rufous-necked snowfinch) is the source of this 470-nucleotide long non-coding RNA. RefSeq lists it as uncharacterized. Lineage: Eukaryota; Metazoa; Chordata; Aves; Passeriformes; Passeridae. The transcript is spliced from 3 exons. The record is from RefSeq and is a predicted model, not a curated record.